AUACGGAGGUAGCAAGCGUUAUUCGGAAUCACUGGGCGUAAAGGACGCGUAGGCGGGUUUGUAAGUCAGGUGUGAAAUCCUACAGCUCAACUGUAGAACUGCACUUGAAACUACAGACCUAGAGUAUGGAAGGGGCAGAUGGAAUUAGUGGUGUAGGGGUAAAAUCCGUAGAUAUCACUAGGAAUACCGAAAGCGAAGGCGAUCUGCUGGGACAUUACUGACGCUGAGGCGUGAAAGCGUGGGGAGCAAACAGGAGUAGAAACCCCGGUAGUCC
Molecule: ribosomal RNA, 274 nt
Filed under: uncultured bacterium
Lineage: Bacteria
Description: partial 16S ribosomal RNA
Rfam family: Bacterial small subunit ribosomal RNA
Source: RNAcentral